CCUACGGGAGGCAGCAGUGGGGAAUAUUGCGCAAUGGGCGAAAGCCUGACGCAGCAACGCCGCGUGAGUGAUGAAGGCCUUCGGGUUGUAAAGCUCUGUCGGGUGGAACGAAAGGGCAGGGUGUGAACAAUACUCUGUUUUGACGGUACCGCCAAAGGAAGCGCCGGCUAACUCCGUGCCAGCAGCCGCGGUAAU
This 195-nucleotide ribosomal RNA is filed under the name uncultured Geobacter sp. RNAcentral's name for it is "partial 16S ribosomal RNA". It matches the Rfam family "Bacterial small subunit ribosomal RNA", at positions 338 to 524 of the family's 1533-position model. Lineage: Bacteria; Pseudomonadati; Thermodesulfobacteriota; Desulfuromonadia; Geobacterales; Geobacteraceae. The record is from RNAcentral.